Molecule: long non-coding RNA, 1015 nt
Organism: Zootermopsis nevadensis
Lineage: Eukaryota; Metazoa; Arthropoda; Insecta; Blattodea; Termopsidae
Source: RefSeq, a predicted model, not a curated record
AUCUUUUCCUAGAUGGCGGCACAGUAUCGUGUUCUUGUCUCGUAUUAUAUGGCGCCCAGUUUCGUACGCUGAUAGGUGUGUGAAAAUGUUUCUGCUGUAUGUUAAAAAUUUGAAGUGGAUUCAGAAUACAAUCAACAAGACACGCAGUCUUGAUGGUACCUCAUUACUAGCUGCAAGUGUUUUGUGGACAUGUAUGACAGCUGUGUGGGAAUUGCUGAAUGCUGACUCCUGGAGAAUGAAUGUGCUAGUAACAACCUUGUCUCCUCAUACACCAUCGGUUGAUGCUGAUUUUAGAAGCGUGUACAAGAGUCACCUGUACAAAGUUCAUACUGUGGUGCUAAAACAAUAGUUUUGAUACUGUUUCCCAAAUCCUAUUCAGAAGGAUGGUAGAUUGUAGUUUCUUAUUUCACAAAAUAAGGGUAAAUGGUCAUUAUGAUACUUAUCUUUGAAAAAAAACACUCAACUUUAAUAAAGAGAACGAUUUUCAUAACAUUUUGUCUUAACCUCGCAGGCUGUGCCGCGCACAAUGCACCAGUAUUAAACAGACGGUAGUAACAUCACAGAAUUUUAACUUUUUAGAAACUGGCAUAAAAACGGAUUAUAAAUCAUUUAGUUCUUUGCCAACAAAUACAGUGAUCUGAGAUGCAACCCAUUGGGUAAUAAUGUGCUGUGGUCCUCUUGUCGCAAUGAACCUAAUUCUGUCACCUGCAAACAAGCAAUAUUUUGUUAGUUACAGCUUGCAAUAAAAUACAUUACAGAAGAUAAAUUAAGGUUCAUACACCUAAGUUAUUUGUGGAAAAUUCUUAAAAUCAAAAGGACAAUACAUUUAUCUGACUAUAAUCCUACUAUAUCAGGCAUUAUACCAGUAUCUUACUGAAUAUCUUGUCAACAUUAUAUUGAAAAGUUAAGAAUUACAUAUCAUAAAAAGGAACAAUUAUACUGUGCUAGUACAUAUACUAUUUGUUCCCAAUAGACUAAACUUAAUAUUACAAAAUUAAAUAAAGUCAACGCUGUA